This 341-nucleotide unclassified non-coding RNA is filed under the name soil metagenome. Its description in RNAcentral is "partial contains 5.8S ribosomal RNA, internal transcribed spacer 2, and large subunit ribosomal RNA". The stretch from base 1 to 121 matches the Rfam family "5.8S ribosomal RNA", at positions 35 to 154 of the family's 154-position model. The record is from RNAcentral.
GAUGAAGAACGUAGUGAAAUGCGAUAAGUAAUGCGAAUUGCAGAAUUCCAGUGAAUCAUCGAAUCUUUGAACGCACAUUGCGCCCCUUGGUAUUCCAUGGGGCAUGCCUGUUCGAGCGUCAUUUGUACCCUCAAGCUAUGCUUGGUGUUGGGUGUUUGUCCUCUCCUUUGCGAUUGGACUCGCCUUAAAGACAUUGGCAGCCAGUGUAUUGGUCUUGAAGCGCAGCACAUUUUGCGAUUCUUGCUGAUAAUCACUAGCGUCCAGUAAGCCUAUUUUAACACUUUUGACCUCGGAUCAGGUAGGGAUACCCGCUGAACUUAAGCAUAUCAAUAAGCGGAGGA